AUUGAACUCUGGCGGCAGGCCUAACACAUGCAACUCGAACUAGUGUCUGACGGGUGAGUAAUGUCUGGGGAACUGCCCGAUCGAGGGGGAUAACUCCUGGAAACGGUAGCUAAUACCGCAUACCCUCUGAUGUUCCCAGAUGGGAUUAGCUAGUAGGUGUGGUAACGGCUCACCUCGGCGACGCUCCCUAGCUGGUCUGAGAGGAUGACCAGCCAGAAUGGAACUGAGACACGGUCCAGACUCCUACGGGAGGCAGCAGUGGGGAAUAUUGCACAAUGGGCGCUAGCCUGAUGAAGCAAGGCUGGGUGUAUGAAGAAGGCCUUCGGGUUGUAAAGUACUUGCAGAGAGGAGGCGUUACUCGCAGAAGAAGAACCGGCUAACUCCGUGCCAGCCGCCGCGGUAAUUC
Molecule: ribosomal RNA, 406 nt
Filed under: uncultured bacterium
Lineage: Bacteria
Description: partial 16S ribosomal RNA
Rfam family: Bacterial small subunit ribosomal RNA
Source: RNAcentral